This 497-nucleotide ribosomal RNA is filed under the name uncultured bacterium. RNAcentral's name for it is "partial 16S ribosomal RNA". It matches the Rfam family "Bacterial small subunit ribosomal RNA", at positions 28 to 507 of the family's 1533-position model. The record is from RNAcentral.
GACGAACGCUGGCGGCGUGCCUAAUACAUGCAAGUCGAGCGAUGAAGAUUGGUGCUUGCACCAAUUUGAAGAGCAGCGAACGGGUGAGUAACGCGUGGGGAAUCUGCCUUUGAGCGGGGGACAACAUUUGGAAACGAAUGCUAAUACCGCAUAACAACUUUAAACAUAAGUUUUAAGUUUGAAAGAUGCAAUUGCAUCACUCAAAGAUGAUCCCGCGUUGUAUUAGCUAGUUGGUGAGGUAAAGGCUCACCAAGGCGAUGAUACAUAGCCGACCUGAGAGGGUGAUCGGCCACAUUGGGACUGAGACACGGCCCAAACUCCUACGGGAGGCAGCAGUAGGGGAUCUUCGGCAAUGGAGGAAAGUCUGAACGAGCAAAGCCGCGUGAGUGGAGGAGGGUUUCGGAUCGUAAAACUCUGUUGGUAGAGGAGAAAGUUGGUGAGAGUGGAAAGCUCAUAAAGUGACGGUAACUACCCAGAAAGGGACGGCUAACUACGUG